GAUGAAGAACGUAGCGAAAUGCGAUAACUAAUGUGAAUUGCAGAAUUCCGUGAAUCAUCGAGUCUUUGAACGCACAUUGCGCCCCCUGGUAUUCCGGGGGGCAUGCCUGUCCGAGCGUCAUUACAACCCUCAAGCCCGGCUUGUGUAAUGGGCGGCCGUCUCUCCCCCCGGGGGGAGACGCCCCCGAAACUCAGUGGGGAUGUCGCGAUACCGAAGCCUCAGCUAACGGGUAAACCACAGCUGCAAUGGCCGCGGCCGGCGUCCGCCUUCCACGGUCCGUCCGCCUAGCGCGGGCGGCCUUCUCAAGGUUGACCUCGGAUCAGGUAGGGAUACCCGCUGAACUUAAGCAUAUCAAUAAGCGGAGGA
Molecule: unclassified non-coding RNA, 366 nt
Filed under: soil metagenome
Description: partial contains 5.8S ribosomal RNA, internal transcribed spacer 2, and large subunit ribosomal RNA
Rfam family: 5.8S ribosomal RNA (bases 1-120)
Source: RNAcentral